This is a long non-coding RNA of Cebus imitator (Panamanian white-faced capuchin), 466 nucleotides long. RefSeq lists it as uncharacterized. The transcript is spliced from 5 exons. The record is from RefSeq and is a predicted model, not a curated record. NCBI's taxonomy places the organism in Eukaryota, Metazoa, Chordata, Mammalia, Primates, Cebidae.
CUUCUGAACUGAGAUUGUCUGAGGCAUCGCUGAGUCCACUGCUGAUGGAGCUGCUUUCAUCCCAGCUACAGGACAGGAGAGAUGAAGGAAGACACUCUGUCUUUCUCUGGCAAGAGAAAAUGUUCUAUCUCCUUAACAGAAAGGUAUAUUAUAAAGACAAGUUCAUCCUAUCCUGGGAUCAGGUCCUGCUUCUAAACAGAACAUGCUGUUCUUCUGAGAAAGAAUACUGAGGAAAGAUCAAUGCGGUUUUAUGAUCCUAUCAGCUCUUCUGGAUCAAGGUAAGAUCUCUGCCAUUUGCUCUCUGGAUAUGCUGAAUAGUUGACACUAUGGGACCAGACUUCAUUAUCCUGGAGAUUCUCUAUCCCUGACUUAAACUGGAACCUCAGUCUUCCUCUUGUUGGUUUACUUCUCGGUUAGGUGACGUACUUCUUCUGCUAGGUUUCUGAAAAGGGGUGCUUUGGAAGCA